CUCAAAAGACUUCAGUAGCUGGCCAAAGGACACUCGAAUCAAAUCAUUGUGCCGGACAAUCCAACCGGACAAUGUCCUUGCUGUGGCCCAAGGUGCAGAUGUGAUUACCUUUCGAUACGUAUUGUCGCGAACGGUGUCCUCGGUGCGCAAGAGAAAUGUGACUGCGAGUUGAACCGGUGAAAAAGGAUACGUGUGUGGUCCCACAAAAUCAGGAGCAUAUACCUCAAGGAUAUCAUCUGAAAGAAUGCAUAUAUAGUAGGUGUGAAUAUUUGAAAAAAAAAUCAUAAAUAGUUUAAUUAUAUUUGUUGUUAUAUUUAGAGAAUAAAAGUAGAUCAAGUAUGA
This is a long non-coding RNA of Hermetia illucens (black soldier fly), 342 nucleotides long. RefSeq lists it as uncharacterized. The transcript is spliced from 2 exons. The record is from RefSeq and is a predicted model, not a curated record. Lineage: Eukaryota; Metazoa; Arthropoda; Insecta; Diptera; Stratiomyidae.